RNAcentral lists this ribosomal RNA (420 nucleotides) under uncultured eukaryote. RNAcentral describes it as "bacterial SSU rRNA". It matches the Rfam family "Eukaryotic small subunit ribosomal RNA", at positions 592 to 1018 of the family's 1831-position model. The record is from RNAcentral.
CAAUAGCGUAUAUUAAAGUUGUUGCGGUUAAAAAGCUCGUAGUUGGAUUUCUGCUGAGGACGAUCGGUCCGCCCUCUGGGUGAGCAUUGACUCGGCCUUGGCAUCUUCUUGGAGAACGCUACUGCACUUGACUGUGUGGUGCGGUAUCCAGGACUUUUACUUUGAGGAAAUUAGAGUGUUCAAGGCAGGCCUUUGUCUGAAUACAUUAGCAUGGAAUAAUAAGAUAGGACUUUGGCUCUAUUUUGUUGGUUUUGAGAUCCGAAGUAAUGAUUAAUAGGGAUGGCCGGGGGCAUUCGUAUUCGGUUGUCAGAGGUGAAAUUCUUGGAUUUACCGAAGACGGACUACUGCGAAAGCAUUUGCCAAGGAUGUUUUCAUUGAUCAAGAACGAAAGUUAGGGGUUCGAAGACGAUCAGAUACCGU